GACGAACGCUGGCGGCGUGCUUAACACAUGCAAGUCGAACGGAAAGGCCCUUCUUUUGUGGGGUGCUCGAGUGGCGAACGGGUGAGUAACACGAGAGUAACCUACCCUUGACUUUGGGAUAACUUCACGACACUGGGGCUAAUAUAGGACAGGAGCUCCUGCUGCAUGGUGGGGGUUGGAAAGUUUCGGCGGUUGGGGAUGGACUCGCGGCUUAUCAGCUUGUUGGUGGGGUAGGGGCUUACCCAGGCUUUGACGGGUAGCCGGCCUGAGAGGGUGACCGGCCACAUUGGGACUGAGAUACGGCCCAGACUCCUACGGGAGGCAGCAGUGGGGAAUAUUGUACAGUGGGCGGGAGCCUGAUGCAGCGACGCCGCGUGCGGGAUGACGGCCUUCGGGUUGUAAACCGCUUUCGCCUGUGACGAAGCGUGAGUGACGGUAAUGGGUAAAGAAGCACCGGCUAACUACGUG
This 468-nucleotide ribosomal RNA is filed under the name uncultured bacterium. RNAcentral's name for it is "partial 16S ribosomal RNA". It matches the Rfam family "Bacterial small subunit ribosomal RNA", at positions 28 to 507 of the family's 1533-position model. The record is from RNAcentral.